AGUUCUCUAAGAUAUGCGUGCAUCUUUUAAAUGUGCUGACCGAACAACUACUAUCUAGGGAUCUGCGAGCUCCAAUGGAUGUUACGCCUCUAUUACGUGGACAACUGAAGUUGGAUACCGGAACCCACCUGCUAUAUCGCGGGUUCAGACAGAUAGAAUUUCCACGGUAUCAUUGGAGGCUUA
Molecule: non-coding RNA, 183 nt
Organism: Aerococcus urinae
Lineage: Bacteria; Bacillati; Bacillota; Bacilli; Lactobacillales; Aerococcaceae
Rfam family: 6S / SsrS RNA
About the family: E. coli 6S RNA was the first non coding RNA to be sequenced, but its function was unknown until recently. It consists of 184 nucleotides that fold into an extended hairpin structure with a large single-stranded internal bulge.
Source: Rfam